GAUGAACGCUGGCGGCGUGCCUAAUACAUGCAAGUCGAGCGAACAGAUGAGGAGCUUGUUCUCUGGCCGUUUGGGGCGGAGGGGGGAGAAACAUGGGGAAACCCUCCUUUAAAGUCGGGGAAAAUUCGGGAAAACGGGAGCAAAUACGGGAUAAUAUUUUGAACCGCAGGGUUAAUUGGGAAAAGUGGGUUUUCUGGUAAGUAAUAGUGGGUCCGCGCCGCAUUAGCUAGUUGGUAAGGUAACGGCUUACCAAGGCAACGAUGCGUAGCCGACCUGAGAGGGUGAUCGGCCACACUGGAACUGAGACACGGUCCAGACUCCUACGGGAGGCAGCAGUAGGGAAUCUUCCGCAAUGGGCGAAAGCUUGACGGAGCAACGCCGCGUGAGUGAUGAAGGUCUUCGGAUCGUAAAACUCUGUUAUUAGGGAAGAACAAAUGUGUAAGUAACUAUGCACGUCUUGACGGUACCUAAUCAGAAAGCCACGGCUAACUACGUG
Molecule: ribosomal RNA, 496 nt
Filed under: uncultured bacterium
Lineage: Bacteria
Description: partial 16S ribosomal RNA
Rfam family: Bacterial small subunit ribosomal RNA
Source: RNAcentral